ACGCUGUCGGAUUAUUGGGCGUAAGGGCUCGCAGGCGGUUUCUUAAGUCUGAUGUGAAAGCCCCCGGCUCAACCGGGGAGGGUCAUUGGAAACUGGGGAACUUGAGUGCAGAAGAGGAGAGUGGAAUUCCACGUGUAGCGGUGAAAUGCGUAGAGAUGUGGAGGAACACCAGUGGCGAAGGCGACUCUCUGGUCUGUAACUGACGCUGAGGAGCGAAAGCGUGGGGAGCGAACAGGAUUAGAUACCCUGGUAGUCCACGCCGUAAACGAUGAGUGCUAAGUGUUAGGGGGUUUCCGCCCCUUAGUGCUGCAGCUAACGCAUUAAGCACUCCGCCUGGGGAGUACGGUCGCAAGACUGAAACUCAAAGGAAAUUGACGGA
This 379-nucleotide ribosomal RNA is filed under the name Bacillus pumilus. RNAcentral's name for it is "bacterial SSU rRNA". It matches the Rfam family "Bacterial small subunit ribosomal RNA", at positions 538 to 917 of the family's 1533-position model. The record is from RNAcentral. Lineage: Bacteria; Bacillati; Bacillota; Bacilli; Caryophanales; Bacillaceae.